Molecule: long non-coding RNA, 476 nt
Organism: Camelina sativa (false flax)
Lineage: Eukaryota; Viridiplantae; Streptophyta; Magnoliopsida; Brassicales; Brassicaceae
Source: RefSeq, a predicted model, not a curated record
UUAUAGCUUGAUAUUGUGUUGAACUUUCUGAUUCUUUAUUGUUGCACAAGCUUGUUUGAUCUAGUAGAUUAGUCCGUCCAAUAGUAAAUCACCAAUUUCGUUUUUAUUUGAUUAGUUUGUGGUUCUUUGUGGUCUCGAUAGUUGCAAGUCAGAGAUGAUUCUAAUGUUGUUGUUAUGUAAUCAGGUGUUACGCUCGUCUUCACCCAAGGGCAGUGAACUGCAGGAAGAAGAAGUGUGGUCACAGCAACCAGUUGAGGCCUAAGAAGAAGAUCAAGUAGAGAGACACGUAUCAAGUAUCUCAUCUCUUGCUUUGCUUGCUUCUUUUUGUUAUCUUCCCUUUGAUUGGGUUUGUUUUCUUUUUGUUUCGGUGAUGUUAAAAGAUAAUAUCAGUAUAAGGAUUUGGUUUUCUAUCUACUCUGAAUCGGUUAUGAGAUAUUCAUGCUUAAUUCCAGAUUACUCUCUAUCCGUUUUGAACU